UUGAAAUUGGCCAAUGAGAAAAUCUCUCCAUCGAUUUUGGAGGCCUUUACAUUGUAAAAGACGGAAAUUUAGUUUAAUUUCAUAUAUUUUGUUUGUUCAAAAUGGCCAAUGAAAAAAUUCAUCCGUCGGUUUUAGAGGCUUUCCCAUUUUUAAAGACGGAAAUUUAGUUAAUGUUUAUAUUUUUUAUAUGUCAAAAUCGACCGAUGAAGAAAUUACCGUCGAUUUCCAAAGCCUCCCAUUUUAAUAAGACGGAUUUUUAUUUUUUAAGUUAUUGUUUAAUUCAUUUAUUUUUAUUCAUAUUUAUUUAUUACUAACACUUUUACUAAGUAUCUUUACAGGUACCUGGAGCUGCUUCCCAUUG
This 361-nucleotide long non-coding RNA is filed under the name Solanum tuberosum (potato). Its description in RNAcentral is "long non-coding RNA (STUB_LNC004614)". The record is from RNAcentral. Lineage: Eukaryota; Viridiplantae; Streptophyta; Magnoliopsida; Solanales; Solanaceae.